Molecule: ribosomal RNA, 166 nt
Filed under: Artemisia furcata
Lineage: Eukaryota; Viridiplantae; Streptophyta; Magnoliopsida; Asterales; Asteraceae
Description: 5.8S ribosomal RNA
Rfam family: 5.8S ribosomal RNA
About the family: 5.8S ribosomal RNA (5.8S rRNA) is a component of the large subunit of the eukaryotic ribosome. It is transcribed by RNA polymerase I as part of the 45S precursor that also contains 18S and 28S rRNA. Functionally, it is thought that 5.8S rRNA may be involved in ribosome translocation.
Source: RNAcentral
UCACAAACGACUCUCGGCAACGGAUAUCUCGGCUCACGCAUCGAUGAAGAACGUAGCAAAAUGCGAUACUUGGUGUGAAUUGCAGAAUCCCGUGAACCAUCGAGUUUUUGAACGCAAGUUGCGCCCGAAGCCUUUUGGCCGAGGGCACGUCUGCCUGGGCGUCACG